GAUGAACGCUGGCGGCGUGCCUAACACAUGCAAGUCGAGCGGCAGCGAGUUUCUCACUGUUUGCUUCUCUCUUUUGGUGUAUCCAAAAGAAUUAGGAGGAGCGAAGAGUGAGAAAUGUCGGCGAGCGGCGGACGGCUGAGUAACGCGUGGGAACGUGCCCCAAAGUGAGGAAUAACUGCCCGAAAGGGUAGCUAAUGCCGCAUAUGAUCUUCGGAUUAAAGGAUUUAUCCGCUUUGGGAGCGGCCCGCGUCGGAUUAGGUAGUUGGUGAGGUAAAGGCUCACCAAGCCGACGAUCCGUAGCUGGUCUGAGAGGAUGACCAGCCAGACUGGAACUGAGACACGGUCCAGACUCCUACGGGAGGCAGCAGUGAGGAAUCUUCCACAAUGGGCGAAAGCCUGAUGGAGCAACGCCGCGUGCAGGAUGAAGGCCUUCGGGUUGUAAACUGCUUUUAUUUGUGAAGA
Molecule: ribosomal RNA, 462 nt
Filed under: uncultured Candidatus Saccharibacteria bacterium
Lineage: Bacteria; Candidatus Saccharimonadota
Description: bacterial SSU rRNA
Rfam family: Bacterial small subunit ribosomal RNA
Source: RNAcentral